GUGCCAGCAGCCGCGGUAAUACAGAGGGUGCGAGCGUUGUCCGGAAUCACUGGGCGUAAAGGGCGCGUAGGCGGCUUCUCACGCGUGCGGUGAAAGCCCGGGGCUCAACCCCGGGUCGGCCGUGCGGACGGGGAGGCUGGAGUCUGGUAGAGGCCGAUGGAAUUCCGGGUGUAGCGGUGGAAUGCGUAGAGAUCCGGAAGAACACCAGUGGCGAAGGCGGUCGGCUGGGCCAGCAUCUUCGGAUGGUCGGGGCAACCCGAUACUGACGCUGAGGCGCGACAGCGUGGGGAGCAAACAGGAUUAGAUACCCUGGUAGUCC
RNAcentral lists this ribosomal RNA (319 nucleotides) under uncultured bacterium. RNAcentral describes it as "bacterial SSU rRNA". It matches the Rfam family "Bacterial small subunit ribosomal RNA", at positions 505 to 796 of the family's 1533-position model. The record is from RNAcentral.